This 417-nucleotide ribosomal RNA is filed under the name Triticum aestivum (bread wheat). RNAcentral's name for it is "partial small subunit ribosomal RNA". The record is from RNAcentral. Lineage: Eukaryota; Viridiplantae; Streptophyta; Magnoliopsida; Poales; Poaceae.
AUGGCGAACGCGGCCAAGGCGGCAGCAAUCUUACUUGUUUUUCUGCAGGUGGUGUGCGCCGUCGCCCGGCACCAUGCUGAUCCGCGGGCAUCUUUCGCCUACGUCGAGACUUCAGGGGUGAUGAUGUUGAGUGGGUUCGACCAAGGAGAGGAGCGCGCGCCGGCGUCAUGCGGCGGCACAUACCACACCGACCUGGAAUCCGUGAUCACGGUGUCUAGCAAGAUAUACACGAGCGGGGGCCUGUGCGGCAUCUUGUUCCGCAUCACGGACAUGGAGACCGGGCGCAGCGCGAUGGCAGAGGCCGUGGACGAGUGCCACGACUGCCGCGACGACGAGGUGGGAGCGUCGGCCGGCGUGUGGAAAGAUCUCGGCCUCGACACAGGGGCCGGCUCGGUGGACGUCAUGUUGUCCUAUUGA